UACGUAGGGUGCGAGCGUUAAUCGGAAUUACUGGGCGUAAAGUGUGCGCAGGCGGCCGAGCAAGUCGAGUGUGAAAGCCCCGAGCUUAACUUGGGAACUGCGCUCGAAACUACUUGGCUAGAGUGUGGCAGAGGGAGGUGGAAUUCCACGUGUAGCGGUGAAAUGCGUAGAGAUGUGGAGGAACACCGAUGGCGAAGGCAGCCUCCUGGGCCAACACUGACGCUCAUGCACGAAAGCGUGGGGAGCAAAC
This 250-nucleotide ribosomal RNA is filed under the name uncultured bacterium. Its description in RNAcentral is "partial 16S ribosomal RNA". It matches the Rfam family "Bacterial small subunit ribosomal RNA", at positions 524 to 773 of the family's 1533-position model. The record is from RNAcentral.